This 374-nucleotide ribosomal RNA is filed under the name uncultured microorganism. Its description in RNAcentral is "bacterial SSU rRNA". It matches the Rfam family "Bacterial small subunit ribosomal RNA", at positions 9 to 353 of the family's 1533-position model. The record is from RNAcentral.
GAGUUUGAUCUUGGCUCAGGAUGAACGCCGGCGGUGUGCCUAAUACAUGCAAGUCGUACGCACUGGCCCAACUGAUUGAUGGUGCUUGCACCUGAUCGACGAUGGAUCACCAGUGAGUGGCGGACGGGUGAGUAACACGUAGGUAACCUGCCCUGUACAGGGGAUAACAAUCAGAAAUGACUGCUAAUACCGCAUAAGACCACAGCACCGCAUGGUGCAGGGGUAAAAACUCCGGUGGUACAGGAUGGACCCGCGUCUGAUUAGCUGGUUGGUGAGGUAACGGCUCACCAAGGCGACGAUCAGUAGCCGGCUUGAGAGAGUGAACGGCCACAUUGGGACUGAGACACGGCCCAAAACUCCUACGGGAGGCAGCA